Molecule: ribosomal RNA, 253 nt
Filed under: uncultured bacterium
Lineage: Bacteria
Description: partial 16S ribosomal RNA
Rfam family: Bacterial small subunit ribosomal RNA
Source: RNAcentral
UACGUAGGGGGCAAGCGUUGUCCGGAAUCAUUGGGCGUAAAGCGCGUGUAGGCGGCUCGGUAAGUCUGCUCUGAAAGCCCGGGGCUCAACCCUGGGAGGCGGGUGGAUACUGCUGAGCUCGAGUCCGGAAGAGGCGAGUGGAAUUCCUGGUGUAGCGGUGAAAUGCGCAGAUAUCAGGAGGAACACCAAUGGCGAAGGCAGCUCGCUGGGACGGUACUGACGCUGAGACGCGAAGGCGUGGGGAGCAAACAGG